GUUAAGGUGGCAGAGCCCGGAAUAAUGCAGAAGACCUAAGCCCUUCACACAGGGGUUCAACUCCCCUCCUAAACU
Molecule: transfer RNA, 75 nt
Filed under: Xenodexia ctenolepis
Lineage: Eukaryota; Metazoa; Chordata; Actinopteri; Cyprinodontiformes; Poeciliidae
Description: tRNA-Leu
Rfam family: tRNA
About the family: Transfer RNA (tRNA) molecules are approximately 80 nucleotides in length.
Source: RNAcentral